CCUGGGGAGUACGACCGCAAGGUUGAAACUCAAAGGAAUUGACGGGGGCCCGCACAAGCAGUGGAGUAUGUGGUUUAAUUCGACGCAACGCGAAGAACCUUACCAAGUCUUGACAUCCUGCGACGAGUGCAGAAAUGUACUUUUCCUUCGGGACGCAGAGACAGGUGGUGCAUGGUUGUCGUCAGCUCGUGUCGUGAGAUGUUGGGUUAAGUCCCGCAACGAGCGCAACCCUUAUGGAUAGUUACUACGCAAGAGGACUCUAUUCAGACUGCCGUUGACAAAACGGAGGAAGGUGGGGAUGACGUCAAAUCAUCAUGCCCUUUAUGACUUGGGCUACACACGUACUACAAUGGCGUUUAACAAAGAGAAGCGAUACCGCGAGGUGGAGCAAAACUCAAAAACAACGUCCCAGUUCAGAUUGCAGGCUGCAACUCGCCUGCAUGAAGUCGGAAUUGCUAGUAAUCGCAGAUCAGCAUGCUGCGGUGAAUACGUUCCCGGGCCUUGUACACACCGCCCGUCACACCAUGAGAGCCGGGGGGACCCGAAGUCGGUAGUCUAACCGCAAGGAGGACGCCGCCGAAGGUAAAACUGGUGAUUGGGGUGAAGUCGUAACAAGGUAGCCGUAGGAGAACCUGCGGCUGGAUCACCUCCUUUCUAGGGAG
Molecule: ribosomal RNA, 662 nt
Filed under: Faecalibacterium sp. An77
Lineage: Bacteria; Bacillati; Bacillota; Clostridia; Eubacteriales; Oscillospiraceae
Description: bacterial SSU rRNA
Rfam family: Bacterial small subunit ribosomal RNA
Source: RNAcentral